Molecule: ribosomal RNA, 389 nt
Filed under: uncultured bacterium
Lineage: Bacteria
Description: partial 16S ribosomal RNA
Rfam family: Bacterial small subunit ribosomal RNA
Source: RNAcentral
AUACGUAGGGGGCGAGCGUUGUCCGGAAUGAUUGGGCGUAAAGGGCUCGUAGGCGGCCCGGUAAGUCUGGAGUGAAAGUCCUGUUUUUAAGAUGGGAAUUGCUUUGGAUACUGUCGGGCUUGAGUGCAGGAGAGGUAAGUGGAUUUCCCAGUGUAGCGGUGAAAUGCGUAGAGAUUGGGAGGAACACCAGUGGCGAAGGCGACUUACUGGACUGUAACUGACGCUGAGGCGCGAAAGUGUGGGGAGCAAACAGGAGUAGAUACCCUGGUAGUCCACACUGUAAACGAUGAAUGCUAGGUGUAGGGGCAACUCAGUAGCGCAGUUAACACAUUAAGUAUUCCGCCUGGGGAGUUCGCACGCAAGUGUAAAACUCAAAUGAAUUGGCGGGG